This 254-nucleotide ribosomal RNA is filed under the name uncultured bacterium. Its description in RNAcentral is "partial 16S ribosomal RNA". It matches the Rfam family "Bacterial small subunit ribosomal RNA", at positions 524 to 776 of the family's 1533-position model. The record is from RNAcentral.
UACGUAGGGCGCAAGCGUUGUCCGGAAUUAUUGGGCGUAAAGAGCUCGUAGGCGGUGUGUCGCGUCGGCCGUGAAAACCUGCAGCUCAACUGUGGGCUUGCGGUCGAUACGGGCAUCACUGGAGUUCGGCAGGGGAGACUGGAAUUCCUGGUGUAGCGGUGAAAUGCGCAGAUAUCAGGAGGAACACCGGUGGCGAAGGCGGGUCUCUGGGCCGAUACUGACGCUGAGGAGCGAAAGCGUGGGGAGCAAACAGG